GACGAACGCUGGCGGCGUGCCUAAUACAUGCAAGUCGAACGCUUCUUUUUCCACCGGAGCUUGCUCCACCGGAAAAAGAGGAGUGGCGAACGGGUGAGUAACACGUGGGUAACCUGCCCAUCAGAAGGGGAUAACACUUGGAAACAGGUGCUAAUACCGUAUAACAAUCGAAACCGCAUGGUUUUGAUUUGAAAGGCGCUUUCGGGUGUCGCUGAUGGAUGGACCCGCGGUGCAUUAGCUAGUUGGUGAGGUAACGGCUCACCAAGGCGACGAUGCAUAGCCGACCUGAGAGGGUGAUCGGCCACAUUGGGACUGAGACACGGCCCAAACUCCUACGGGAGGCAGCAGUAGGGAAUCUUCGGCAAUGGACGAAAGUCUGACCGAGCAACGCCGCGUGAGUGAAGAAGGUUUUCGGAUCGUAAAACUCUGUUGUUAGAGAAGAACAAGGAUGAGAGUAACUGUUCAUCCCUUGACGGUAUCUAACCAGAAAGCCACGGCUAACUACGUGCCAGCAGCCGCGGUAAUACGUAGGUGGCAAGCGUUGUCCGGAUUUAUUGGGCGUAAAGCGAGCGCAGGCGGUUUCUUAAGUCUGAUGUGAAAGCCCCCGGCCUCAACCGGGGAGGGUCAUUGGAAACUGGGAGACUUGAGUGCAGAAGAGGAGAGUGGAAUUCCAUGUGUAGCGGUGAAAUGCGUAGAUAUAUGGAGGAACACCAGUGGCGAAGGCGGCUCUCUGGUCUGUAACUGACGCUGAGGCUCGAAAGCGUGGGGAGCAAACAGGAUUAGAUACCCUGGUAGUCCACGCCGUAAACGAUGAGUGCUAAGUGUUGGAGGGUUUCCGCCCUUCAGUGCUGCAGCUAACGCAUUAAGCACUCCGCCUGGGGAGUACGACCGCAAGGUUGAAACUCAAAGGAAUUGACGGGGGCCCGCACAAGCGGUGGAGCAUGUGGUUUAAUUCGAAGCAACGCGAAGAACCUUACCAGGUCUUGACAUCCUUUGACCACUCUAGAGAUAGAGCUUCCCCUUCGGGGGCAAAGUGACAGGUGGUGCAUGGUUGUCGUCAGCUCGUGUCGUGAGAUGUUGGGUUAAGUCCCGCAACGAGCGCAACCCUUAUUGUUAGUUGCCAUCAUUUAGUUGGGCACUCUAGCAAGACUGCCGGUGACAAACCGGAGGAAGGUGGGGAUGACGUCAAAUCAUCAUGCCCCUUAUGACCUGGGCUACACACGUGCUACAAUGGGAAGUACAACGAGUCGCAAAGUCGCGAGGCUAAGCUAAUCUCUUAAAGCUUCUCUCAGUUCGGAUUGUAGGCUGCAACUCGCCUACAUGAAGCCGGAAUCGCUAGUAAUCGCGGAUCAGCACGCCGCGGUGAAUACGUUCCCGGGCCU
This 1382-nucleotide ribosomal RNA is filed under the name uncultured bacterium. Its description in RNAcentral is "bacterial SSU rRNA". It matches the Rfam family "Bacterial small subunit ribosomal RNA", at positions 28 to 1381 of the family's 1533-position model. The record is from RNAcentral.